CCCAUCCCAGGGGCUCAGGGGCCAUUCCAGGGCCCGUCCCAGGGGCUCAGGGCCCACCCCAGGGGCUCAGGGUGGCCAUGCUCAGGCUCAGGGCCCAUCCCAGUGCUCAGGAGCAGCUCUGACCCCAAUGCCCACAGGUGGUGCCAGGCUACGGGCACGCGGUGCUGCGCAAGACGGACCCGCGCUACACCUGCCAGCGGGAGUUCGCCCUCAAGCACCUGCCCAAGGACCCCCUGUUCAAGCUGGUGGCUCAGCUCUACAAGAUCGUCCCCAACGUGCUCCUGGAGCAGGGCAAGGCCAAGAACCCCUGGCCCAACGUGGAUGCCCACAGCGGGGUCCUGCUGCAGGUGAGCCCUGGGUGCUGUGUGCCUCUGGUUGUGUCUGUGCUGUCUGUCCUUUUCCUGUCAGUCUGUCCUUUUCCUGUCAGUCUGUCCUUUUCCUGUCAGUCUGUCCA
Molecule: long non-coding RNA, 454 nt
Filed under: Junco hyemalis (dark-eyed junco)
Lineage: Eukaryota; Metazoa; Chordata; Aves; Passeriformes; Passerellidae
Description: lncRNA (ENSJHYG00000015239.1)
Source: RNAcentral